UGAGAGAGGGUGUUUUCGU
This 19-nucleotide non-coding RNA is filed under the name Arabidopsis thaliana (thale cress). Lineage: Eukaryota; Viridiplantae; Streptophyta; Magnoliopsida; Brassicales; Brassicaceae. The record is from RNAcentral.